CCAGGCUAGGGGUUGAAUCGGAGCUGUAGCCACCGGCCUACGCCAGAGCCACAGCAACGCGGGAUCCGAGCCGCGUCUGCAACCUACACCACAGCUCACGGCCACGCCGGAUCGUUAACCCACUGAGCAAGGGCAGGGACUGAACCCGCAACCUCAUGGUUUGUAGUCGGAUUCAUUAACCACUGCGCCACGAUGGGAACUCCCCCCUCCCCAAUAUUUUGACAUAACAAUGUGCACAUAUUUAGCUCAGGAAAUCAUGAGUAAAACUUGGUUGCAGGCCACAUUGCUUGUGUGCGUGUGUGUGUGUGUGUGUGUGUGUGUGUGUGUGUGUGUUGGUGGGUAUGGCCAUGCACACACAAAUAACUCCUGAAAGGGGAUUCUUAGUACAGGGACACCCUCCCUUCUCAGGUCUUCCAUUCGAGGUAACUAAUGGGAAUGCUGAAAUUCCAGCUUUAUUUUUGGCGCACCAUAGCCUCAAAUUAAGACAACUUGUAUGUGGUCUUAUAUUUAGAAUUUUGAAUGAUGCCAGUUCGGUGGCUUGCUCUGAUGAGUCACGGGCACAGUUUGUCAUGGGAAUCACAAGUGAGGGGGGUCUUAGUACAGCGUGGUGAGCGCUGUGGUGGAGUUUGUUACCGGGUGUCGUGGGAGCACGGAGACGAGCCCCUCCUCACCUUGGGGACUGGAAAGUUGUGAAAUGCUUUCAAGAGUAUGUGACCCUUGAGGUGGGUCUUGAAGGAGGAGUUUGCCAGGUGGAAGGGAGAAAAGACGUGGAAUAGGACCUUUCAGAUGGCGGCACAGAUGGGGCCCCCAGAAGUCAGCAAGAGCACGGCGCACCCAGAGGGCUUGCGAGGAGGACUGUCGUGGCCACUGCAUUUGGAGGCGUAGGCUGGGCUGGGGGCUGACCGGUGGGCAGGGUCAGACCCUGCAGUGGAACCCCCCUGAAGGACUUGAGGAUCCUGGAUCAGGUUUGAUUUUACAGUAGGGAUUCUUUCUCAGGCUUCCCCUGAAUGGCAGUGAUCCGGUUUAGCCACGCAAGACCUUUUUAUCAGUUCCUGCGGGUGUGGGGCUCAACAUCCCAUGUUUAAGGUAUGGCUACAGGCUAUCCACUGAUAAUCCCAAGGGCAUCAUCAUAAGUUGCUGAAAUGUUUCUGGUGUUGAAUUACAGUCCGCCCUCUGUAUGCUUGGGUUCUCUGUCCGUAGACUCAGCCAACCACAGAUUGAAAAUAUUUGAAUAAAAGAUUCCAGGAAAAAGAAAUUGCUGUAAGGAAACAUCUGGGUAUGAGUUGAUUCUGGCUAAACCAGCCCAAUGAAAUUCUGGCAGCAGGCAGGCCAGGGCGAUUAGACUUCACCUGGGGAAGAGUGGAGACUGAGGAACCGGAUUAGUUAUCUUGGGUGAUCAGAUAUGGAGGAGGGGGAGUUAGUGCUCAGAUGACCGAGCAGGAUUCUUGCUAAAACUAAAUCAAGAUGGAAGUCUACAAGUCAAGGGCUAAUUGAAAAGGGGUUCAGAGGAGCCCGAUUAGAGUUUGGUCAAGGAGGGAAUCGUUGUCACAUGGCUUAUGAAAGAAAACGGCUUCUUUGAUCUUUGGUCUCUUGGUCUCAGCCAAGUCUCACUAUCAAAGUGCCACCCACCACCGCCCUUCAGACUUUGUGCAUGUCUUCUCGUGUGCACAUCGCAUUUGUUAUGGUGGAAUCUAAGUCCCUCUUUAUGAUCUAGACGAGGAGCCCGGAAGCUGCGCCACGUGGGCCAGGAUCAGCAGUUGCCUGUUUCUAUACAGUUUGAUUGGAAGGGAGAAAAAAAAAGUUUCAGAAAAUUUCGAAAGGCAAAAAUUGAAUUUGUCACGUACCAGCAAUUAUUCGCAUGGAAUUUACAUCGUGUUAGGUAUUAGAAGUAAUCUAGCAGUGAUUUACAGUAUACAGGAGGAUGUGCCUAGGUUGUAUGCGGAUAUAACCACUUAGGCUCCCAUGGAGCAUGGACUUAUGCAGGCCACAGAUUUUACAUAGAUCUUGGAAAUGGCACUCUAAAAAUGCACUGUCACCGCUGUCUUGAAUUUGUGACCGUUUUUAAUUGCUAGGAAUCGAGAUGUUUAAUUAUCGGUUACUGUUAGCUUGACUUUCUCAUUAUUAGUUUAGGCACCAUGUGGUUGCAUGUUUACCUUGAACUGUGAGGUGGUGCUUACCUACGCUGGGGAUCUUUUUUGGCUAACGAGUUUCCAACAACUAGACUUGAAGAUAUGCAUGAGG
RNAcentral lists this long non-coding RNA (2241 nucleotides) under Sus scrofa (pig). Its description in RNAcentral is "lncRNA (ENSSSCG00055013857.1)". The record is from RNAcentral. Lineage: Eukaryota; Metazoa; Chordata; Mammalia; Artiodactyla; Suidae.